UUGCUAGCUUGCUAAUAAUUCUCUAGUGGCGCAUGGGUGAGUAACACGUGAGUAACCUGCCCCCAAGAGUGGGAUAGCCCCGGGAAACUGGGAUUAAUACCGCAUAAAAUCGCAAGAUUAAAGCAGCAAUGCGCUUGGGGAUGGGCUCGCGUCCUAUUAGUUAGUUGGUGAGGUAACGGCUCACCAAGGCGAUGACGGGUAGCCGGUCUGAGAGGAUGUCCGGCCACACUGGAACUGAGACACGGUCCAGACACCUACGGGUGGCAGCAGUCGAGAAUCAUUCACAAUGGGGGAAACCCUGAUGGUGCGACGCCGCGUGGGGGAAUGAAGGUCUUCGGAUUGUAAACCCCUGUCAUGUGGGAGCAAAUUAAAAAGAUAGUACCACAAGAGGAAGAGACGGCUAACUCUGUGCCAGCAGCCGCGGUAAUACAGAGGUCUCAAGCGUUGUUCGGAAUCACUGGGCGUAAAGCGUGCGUAGGCGGUUUCGUAAGUCGUGUGUGAAAGGCGGGGGCUCAACCCCCGGACUGCACAUGAUACUGCGAGACUAGAGUAAUGGAGGGGGAACCGGAAUUCUCGGUGUAGCAGUGAAAUGCGUAGAUAUCGAGAGGAACACUCGUGGCGAAGGCGGGUUCCUGGACAUUAACUGACGCUGAGGCACGAAGGCCAGGGGAGCGAAAGGGAUUAGAUACCCCUGUAGUCCUGGCAGUAAACGGUGCACGCUUGGUGUGCGGGGAAUCGACCCCCUGCGUGCCGGAGCUAACGCGUUAAGCGUGC
RNAcentral lists this ribosomal RNA (774 nucleotides) under uncultured bacterium. Its description in RNAcentral is "bacterial SSU rRNA". It matches the Rfam family "Bacterial small subunit ribosomal RNA", at positions 72 to 869 of the family's 1533-position model. The record is from RNAcentral.